RNAcentral lists this ribosomal RNA (914 nucleotides) under Corynebacterium striatum. RNAcentral's name for it is "partial 23S ribosomal RNA". It matches the Rfam family "Bacterial large subunit ribosomal RNA", at positions 1 to 877 of the family's 2925-position model. Lineage: Bacteria; Bacillati; Actinomycetota; Actinomycetes; Mycobacteriales; Corynebacteriaceae. The record is from RNAcentral.
UGUUCGUUAUUUAGGGCGCAUGGUGGAUGCCUUGGCAUGCUGAGCCGAUGAAGGACGUGAAAGGCUGCGUUAAGCCUCGGGGAGUUGUCAAUUGAGCGUUGAUCCGAGGAUGUCCGAAUGGGGAAACCUGGCACCUGUUAUGGGGUGUUACCCUUCAGUGAAUUCAUAGCUGUUGUGGGGGUUACGCGGGGAAGUGAAACAUCUCAGUACCCGUAGGAGAAGAAAAUAAUAAUGAUUCUGCUAGUAGUGGCGAACGAACGUGGAUGAGGCUAAACCGUGUGCAUGUGAUACCUGGUAGGGGUUGUGUGUGCGGUGUUGUGGGCCCUGAUGAGGAUGGCUACUGACGUCCUGCCCGCGCAUUGUUGUUAGGUGAAGUGGUGUGGAAACGCCUGCCGUAGAAGGUGAUAGUCCUGUAGCUGAAGAUGAUGGUGUGUGGGUUGUUGGGUUGCCCGAGUAGCAGCGGGCUCGUGGAAUCUGCUGUGAAUCUGCCGGGACCACCCGGUAAGCCUAAAUACUCAGUGUGACCGAUAGUGGAUAGUACCGUGAGGGAAUGGUGAAAAGUACCCCGGGAGGGGAGUGAAAUAGUUCCUGAAACCAUGUGCUUACAAUCCGUCAGAGCACUUUUUGUGUGUGAUGGCGUGCCUUUUGAAGAAUGAGCCUGCGAGUCAGCGGCAUGUCGCGAGGUUAACCCGUGUGGGGUAGCCGUAGGGAAACCGAAUCCUAAUGGGGUGUUUAGUGGCAUGUCCUGGACCCGAAGCGGGGUGAUCUACCCAUGGCCAGUGUGAAGCAGCAGUAAGAUGCUGUGGAGGCGCGAACCCACGUAGGUUGAAAACUGCGGGGAUGAGCUGUGGGUAGGGGUGAAAGGCCAAUCAAACUCCGUGAUAGCUGGUUCUCCCCGAAAUGCAUUUAGGUGC